UUUGGAGCAACUACAUAUAAGUUAGGUUUUGGGUAAAAUAUGAUUAACGAGUGUUUUUAUAGUAAAAUUUGAUUAUCUUAUUCAUAAGUUAUUAAAGAAAACCGAAGGAAUAUAUCACUAAUUUAAAAAUAAAAAAUAAAAUAAAAAGAAAGGUACCACAGUUAAAGAAAUAAAAACAUAAACUACAUUUGUUAGGAUUCGAAGCAUGUCCUGAAUUAUUUUUUCCAUUGGUUAUAUUUAGAAACCGAGGAAAUAUGUGGUAUUUAUUUAUUAAAAA
This 277-nucleotide long non-coding RNA is filed under the name Lathyrus oleraceus (garden pea). Its description in RNAcentral is "Pisum sativum (pea) long non-coding RNA (PSAT_LNC030410)". Lineage: Eukaryota; Viridiplantae; Streptophyta; Magnoliopsida; Fabales; Fabaceae. The record is from RNAcentral.